GAUGAACGCUAGCGACAGGCUUAACACAUGCAAGUCGAGGGGCAUCGGGACGUAGCAAUACGUUGCCGGCGACCGGCGGAUGGGUGAGUAACGCGUAUGCAACCUGCCCACGACAGGGGGAUAGCCCGUUGAAAGACGGAUUAAUACCCCAUAAAACAGGGGUUCCGCAUGGGACUAUUUGUUAAAGGGUUUUCCGCGAGGGGGAUCCGGUUGUGGACGGGCAUGCGUUCCAUUAGGCAGUUGGUGGGGUAACGGCUCACCAAACCGACGAUGGAUAGGGGAACCGGGAGGUUGGUCCCCCACACUGGUACUGAGAUACGGACCAGACUCCUACGGGAGGCAGCAGUGAGGAAUUUUGGUCAAUGGACGGAAGUCUGAACCAGCCAAGUCGCGUGAGGGAAGGCGGCCCUAAGGGUUGUAAACUUCUUUUGUAAGGGAAUAAAGGCCGGUACGCGUUACCGGUUUGCAGGUACCUUACGAAUAAGGAUCGGCUAACUCCGUG
Molecule: ribosomal RNA, 502 nt
Filed under: uncultured bacterium
Lineage: Bacteria
Description: bacterial SSU rRNA
Rfam family: Bacterial small subunit ribosomal RNA
Source: RNAcentral